GCCGUGCUGCCGCCGCCAUUUUGUGCGAGCCGCGGCCGGGGCCGAGCGGGUGCGGGAGCCGCGGGGAGGGAGCCGGCCUCUUCCCCGCGCCGCCAUGCCUUCCUCGCCGCUCCGCGUGGCCGUGGUGUGCUCCAGCAAUCAGAACCGCAGCAUGGAGGCGCACAACAUCCUCAGCAAACGAGGAUUCAGCGUCCGGUCCUUUGGAACAGGGACUCACGUGAAGCUGCCGGGACCAGCCCCGGACAAGCCGAAUGUUUACGAUUUCAAAACAACAUAUGAUCAGAUGUACAAUGAUCUGCUUAGGAAAGACAAAGAACUAUACACACAGAAUGGGAUUUUACACAUGUUGGACAGAAAUAAGAGAAUCAAGCCACGACCAGAAAGGUUCCAGAACUGCAAAGAUGUUUUUGAUUUGAUCCUAACGUGUGAAGAAAGAGUCUAUGACCAAGUAGUAGAAGAUUUAAAUUCCAGAGAGCAGGAGACAUGCCAGCCAGUGCAUGUGAUCAAUGUGGACAUUCAGGAUAACCAUGAGGAGGCAACCCUGGGUGCUUUCCUUAUCUGUGAGCUCUGCCAGUGUAUACAGCACACAGAAGACAUGGAAAACGAAAUAGAUGAGCUGUUACAGGAAUUUGAAGAGAAAAGUGGAAGGACUUUUCUUCAUACUGUCUGCUUUUAUUAAAGCACCUCUGUCUCUUAGGCCUUAAUACAGAUGAGGGAAGCAUGUGUUUAAAGUUCUGAUCAUACGGUAUUUUUCCUGGAAAAUGAUUAUUGAUCUCUUUUUGUUUCAAAACUACUUCUCAGUGUCUUUUUGUUUCAGGUGUUCUGUCCCAGGUAGGCAGAGACACUGCUGGGGGUUGUACAUAUGAGAUGAUGAAAAGUCUACACAAAGGCCACCUAUUUAAAAAAGAUGAGAAUCAAGUGUUUUCUUUAAGCCCUACUUUAAUUAUGACAAAAAAGAAGUGCCCAAGUGCCUGAAGCAGGACGAGAGUGGCCGUUCAUCCUCAGCAUCUCAGAGAGGGCAGUGCCAGCGUGAAGGUGUUGAGAGGAAGCAGAAGACCUCAAGUGUGUCCCUCAUUCAGAGAGCAUCUGGGCAGCUCAUGAUGAGUUUUGAUCCCAUGUUGGACACGAGUGAACUGCUUUCUCUGCAUGAAUUAGGGCACUACCUGGAAAUCUUUUGGGAUCUUAAUUGCCUUUGAAUUAUCGUGUGUGAGAUGAACAAGAGUGUGAGGCUGUAACUGCAGCAGUCUGAGCCAGUGGUAUCUGCCUUCUGUCAGGAAGAUGGGGAAGAAACAGCAAAACUCCACUGUCAACACUAAAGCUUGUUUAUUUCCAAACUAAAGUAUCCUUUGAAUAGAAGUUUGUGACAAGUGUGCUUAUCACAGCUCCCGAGCCAGAAGCUGCGUGUGUGUGUGCAGAGCAAGAGCUCAGGCUUCUGUGUGUUCAGCCUGAUAGAAGUUAAAUGAUUAGUCACUCCAGUUGUGAAUGGUGUGAAGUGUUGCUGCUGCUCACAGGCAAGAGAAGACCUUGAAAGUUGUUUUCUUAAAGGAAGGUGGAAACAGUUUGGAGCAAGUGAGGUCUGUGUGCUCUUCAGUGCACGACACGCAAAGACAACUUGUUAAACGUCACGUUGAAAGAGAAGUGUAGCGUGAAAUGGGGUUUGAGCUCCUGGUUUCUGUCUCUCGUCCUGUCACUGAGCUCUGAGCUCCUGGUUUCUGUCUCUCAUCCUGUCACUGAGCUCUGACAGCUCCCAUGAAUUGCCUAAUUUUCUUUAACCUUCAUGGUUUUGCAAACACAGGGAGUUAGUGCUAAGGAUGUUCUGUUUAGGGCAUCCACACAGACAACACCUCUCCCUGCUCCUGGGAUCUGAGGGUUGGCUGUGGUUUCAGCUGCCUUGUGGGAAAACUUAGACCUCUGCCAGCUCAAUCUGUGUCCUGGACAGUGUCCAAAUGGGUCAUUGCAUCACACUCAGGUCCCAGCAAUGUUGAAUAUCCCUGAAUUUCCUGUGCUCAUUUUCUUGUCUGUUAAAAGUACUUGAAGCAAAAAUGUUGUGCAGAGUGAAUGAAUAGACCAGAAAAAUCAGGGGAUGAGGAGCUCAAGCAACAGUUGUGAGGAAGGUUUGCAGAGUGUUUGUUUCCUGAUUGGCUUGUCCUGUCCCGUUUUCUUGCUGGAGAGACUGUAUUUGAAGGAGAUCAUUCAGCCUCCUCUGCUUCUGCUCAUCUGUGUGUCUGCUACCACUGCCUGUUACCAUGGGGACACUUACAGCCAAAGGAAGAAGAUGAUUCUGUAACAACUCAACUGCUUCAGUUGAUCUCUCUAAAAAAGACAUUGAAGCAAGCAUGACCCUGAGUAUUCUGAGCAGUUUCCCUGUACGGUAUCAGCACUGAAGUCUGUGGCAAGGUGGGACCUGGAGAGUGUUCUCUGGAAACAGUUUGUGCUUUCAGCCCAGUUCAUCCUAAACAGAGCUCUUUGUGGUUGUGUUACAGAAAGUCAAUGCAGACAGGGUGCUCUAGCCUGUGUUUUGUGUCUGUGGAGGUGGACAGCAGCAUCCUUUUCAUUACACAAAGGUGAUACCCCUCCUGUGCGAUGGGCAGAGUUGUGGCUGUGGCGCUGAGUGAGGAUUCAUCAGCAGAGCUCCAGUUGCUGCAUCUCCAACUGCAAUGAGAAACCCAGCUCUAAAAGCCACAGUGUAGUAUACAGGAUGUUACAGGAUUGUUCUUUCCAUCCUAAACGUUCUGUUCACGAGCAAAAGCAACGCUGAGAGCUUUAUUUACCAGUGUGAGGAAGGAGGUUUGGCGGCACAGAGGGAUGACUGAGCUGGAUGGACAGGCAAGUGCUCUGUGUGGCCCACACUCUGGGUCCAAGUGCUUCAAGUUUCUGUGAGCAAAAGCUGUUCCUACUCUGAAACAUUACUUCUCAUUUAACUUACAGGUCAAGAGGUAAAAAUGGGUUCAUUUAUACAGCUGCUUUGUCUCCAUGGCCUUCAUUUGACCUGUAACCCACAAUGAAGUUGAGGCUGUACAGGAGUUUGAUGGGCUCCCAGCCGUGUUUGAGGUACACGUGCAUUGAUACACAAAUAGCUGUGUAGGUAUAAAAUAAACCUUGGCUAAGCACAAAGUGGUUUUCUGUGCCAAAAAGAAAUGUCAAGAGAAACUGUAACUUGAAGAAAAUGGGGGAAAUGUGUUUUUCCUUUGUGUGCUCUCCCCUGUCAUCUCUGCCUUGGUGCUCCUGCUGCGAGGGGCAGGGCUGCACUGGGGCCAUUGCUCUGGCAGUCCUGGAGUUGGCCAUCUUCCUGCUGAAUGAAGGGAAGCAAUGAAGGGUUAACACCUUGUGAACACAGAUGGUGAGUAUUCAGACUUUGACUGUGAUGGGACAUUUCUCCUGUAGCCAUCAGCUACCUGGGCUGUUCUCCCAGUUUCCAGAAGGCCAGCUGAGGUGGCUUUAGAGUGCAGGUUCCUCCCAGAGCUUCCCCAGCCCCACUCUGGGUGCAGAGGUCGUGUUUUGUCACUGUUUUUAUCACUUCUUUGACUAUGAAAAGCCAUAUGGAUUAAACAGUAGAAGGCUGCAGUGUCCACAGAACAACCAGGGAUGUUUGGAAUCCCCACCAGCCAGGACUUGUUGCAAAAGGACAAUGAGGGAAGACUGAGAAACCCGACUCACACCUGAGUCAAUGACAAAGUCUUUCCUCAGUGUCUUCAGGCCCAGCUGAGAGCUGCCCCAGGCUGGUCUGUGGGCCAGGACAUCUGGUUUGAUGGCUGGGAGAUCAGAAACACUGGCAAAACUUUGGCCACACAAAAUUCCUUGAGACUUCUCUUCAAA
This is an RNA transcript of Colius striatus (speckled mousebird), 3816 nucleotides long. It is a transcript of the gene named SSU72 homolog, RNA polymerase II CTD phosphatase, with no coding region annotated. The record is from RefSeq and is a predicted model, not a curated record. The transcript is spliced from 6 exons. NCBI's taxonomy places the organism in Eukaryota, Metazoa, Chordata, Aves, Coliiformes, Coliidae.